RNAcentral lists this long non-coding RNA (6405 nucleotides) under Homo sapiens (human). RNAcentral describes it as "HSALNT0401369". Lineage: Eukaryota; Metazoa; Chordata; Mammalia; Primates; Hominidae. The record is from RNAcentral.
CUCAUGGGCGUGGUCUCAACACACAGUCAGCUGUUGGGGAUCAGAGGCCGCACUCACCGGAGCAGUGAGGCAGAACUAACUGGGAGAGGGUCCUUCUGUGACACCUACUGCAUCACCGGGCUGUGUGAAGUGACUCAGCUGCCAGAACUCACACAAUAUCAUUCUACACCAAAACCUCAUGGGAAAAAUGCUCCACGACCCUCAGGCUUAAACAGCUGUACUGGCCGCUCCCCAGAUCUCCAGCUCCCUGACCCUCAAACUCCAACUGCAGCACCAGCUCCGCCCCGGGUCUCCAGCUCCACAAUCCUCAAACUACAACAGCAGCACCAGCUCCCCUGUGGAUCUCCAGCUCAAUGACUCUCAGACUUGGGAGGCAGCACCGGCUCCCCACCAAGCCUCCAGCUCCACAACCCUCAAACUAGAAAGCAGCACCGGCUACUCCCUGGGUCUCCAGUUCCCUCAAACUUCAGCUAUAGCACUGGCUCUUCCCCGUGGCCACCAGCUCUGCAAACCUCAACUUACACAGUGGUAGCACCAGCUCCUCCCUAGGUCUCCAGCUACACGACCGUCAAAAUUGAACUGCAACACCAGCUCCUCUUUGGCCUCCAGCUCCACAAUCCUCCAACAACAACAGCAACACCGGCUCCUCCCUGAAUCUCCAGCUCAACAACCCUCAGACUUGAGAGGCAGCACCGGCACCUCCCCAAGACUCCAGCUCCAUGACCCUCAGAUUUGAACAGCGGUAGCACCAGCUCCUGUCCAGGUCUCCAGCUACACGACCGUCAAACUUGAACUGCAACACCAGCUCCUCUUCGGCCUCCAGCUCCACAAUCCUCCAACAACAACAGCAACACCGGCUCCUCCCUGAAUCUCCAGCUCAACAACCCUCAGACUUGAGAGGCAGCACCGGCACCUCCCCAAGGCUCCAGCUCCAUGACCCUCAGAUUUGAACAGCGGUAGCACCAGCUCCUGUCCAGGUCUCCAGCUUCAUGAUCCUUAAACUAGAACAGCAGCACCACCACCUCCCUAGGUUUCCAGCUCCACGACCCUAAGACAUGAAUGGCAGGACCGGGUUCCCCGCUAGGGCUCCAGCUCCAAGACCCACAGAUAUAAACGGCAGCACCGGCUCUUCCUGGGAUCUCCAGCUCCACAGCCUUCAAACACGAUCAGCAGCACCAGCUCCCCUCUGGUUCUCCAGCUCCACAAUCCUCAGACAUGAACAGCAGCACAGGCUCCUCCUUGGGUCUCCAGCUUCUCUACCCUCAGACUAGAACAGCAACACUUGUUCCUCCCUGGGUCUCCAGCUCUUACAAGUCUCAGACUUGAAAGGCAGCACUGGCUCCUCAGAAAGUUUCUGGCUCCAAGCUGGUGCUGCUGUCCUAGUUUGAAGGUCAUGGAGCUGGAGACCCGGGGAGGAACCAUUUGAACAGCAGCACUGGCCCCUCCCCGGGUCUCAGGCUCCACGACCCUCAGACUUAAAAAGCCGUAGUACGGGCUUCUCCCUGGGUCUCCAUCUCUACAACCCUCAGACAUGAACAGCAGCAGCACCGCCCCCUCCCCCUGUCUCCAGUUCCACGAACCUCAAACUACAACAGCAGUACCGGCCUCUCCCCAGGUCUCCAGAUCCACGACCCUCAAAAUAGAAUGGCAUCACCGGCUCCUCCCUGGGUCUCCAGCUCCCAAACUCUCAAACUUCAAUUGACACACCGGACCCUCCCCACAGUUAAACAGCAGCACGGGCUGUUCCCCAAAGCUCCAGAUCCACGACCCUCUGACUUAAAGGGCGAUAGCACCAACUCCUCCCUAAGUCUCCAGUUCCACGACCCUCAAACUACACAGCAGCACCGGCUCCUCCUUGGGUCUCCAGCUUCACUACACUCAGACUAGAAUAGCAACACCGGUUCCUCCCUGGAACUCCAGCUCAAUGACUCUCAGACUUGAAAGGCAGCACCAGCUCCUCAAAAAGGUUCUGGCUCCAAGACCCUCGAACUAGAAUAGCAGCAGCUGCUGCAUCUUGGGUCUCCAGCUCCACAACCCUCAAAGUAGAAAAGCAGCCCUGGCUCCUCCCCGAGUCUCCAACUCCUCAAGUCUGAGGGUUGUAGAGCUGGAGACCCGGGGAGGAGUCAGUGCUGCUGUUCUAGUUUGAGGGUCAUGGAUCUGGAGACCCAGGGUGGAGCCGGUGCUGCUGUUCUAGUGUGAGGGUCAUGGAGCUGGAAGACCCCGGGAGGAGCUGCUGCUGCUGUUCUAGUGUGAGGGUCAUGGAGCUGGAAGACCCCGGGAGGAGCUGCUGCUGCUGUCCUAGUUUGAAGGUCAUGGAGCUGGAGACCCCGGAAUGAGCCAUUUGAACAGCAGCACUGGCCCCUCCCCAGGUCUCAGGCUCCACGACCCUCAGACUUAAAAAGCCGUAGUACGGGCUUCUCCCUGGGUCUCCAGCUCUACAACCCUCAGACAUGAACAGCAGCACCGGCUCCUCCCCCUGUCUCCAGUUCCACGAACCUCAAACUACAACAGCAGUACCGGCCUCUCCCCAGGUCUCCAGAUCCAUGACCCUCAAAAUAGAAUGGCAUCAUCAGCUCCUCCCUGGGUCUCCAGCUCCCAAACCCUCAAACUUCAACUAACACAGCAGAUCCUCCCCACAGUUAAACAGCAGCACGGGCUGUUCCCCAAAGCUCCAGAUACACGACCCUCAGUAGCACUGGCUCCUCCCAAGGUCUCCAGUUCCAUGACCCUCAAACUACACAGCAGCACCGGCUCCUCCCCAGGUCUAUAGCUCCACCACCCUCACACUAGACAUCAAGACUACCUCCUUCCCGCUCUCCAGCUACACGACCCUCAAACUUGAACAGCAGCAGCAGCUCCUCCCUAGAUUUCCAGCUCCAUGACCCUAAACCUGCAACAGCAGCACCAGCUCCUCCCUGUACCUCAAGCCCCAUGACCCUCUGACUUGAUCAACAGCAACAGCAGCUCCCUCCCUGGUCUCCAGCUCCACAACCUUCAGCCUUAAACAGCAGCAGCACCAGCUCCUCCCUGGGUCUCCAGCUCCACAACCCUCAGACUAGAACCGCACCCCUCCUCCCUGAGUCUCCAGCUCCAUGACCGUCAAACUACAACAGCAACACAGGUUCCUGUCUGGAUCUCCAGCUCAGCAACUCUCAGAUGAGGCAGCACCGGCAACUCACCAAGGCUCCAGCUCCACAACCCUCAGAUUUGAAUAAUGGUAGCACCAGCUCCUGUCCAGAUCUCCAGCUUCAUGAUCCUUAAACUAGAACAGCAGCACCGCUGCCUCCCUGGGUUUCCAGCUCCACGACCCUAAGACAUGAAUGGCAGAACCGGCUUCCCACAAGGGUUCCAGCUCCAGGACCCACAGAUUUAAAUGGCAGCACUGGCUCUUCCCAGGAUUUCCAGCUCCACUACCCUCAAACUAGAAGAGGAGCACCGGCUCCUCCCUGGGUCUCCAGCUCCCAAACCCUCAGACAUCACCUGACACACUGGAUCCUCCCCACAGUUACAUAGCAGCACGGGCUGUCCCCGAAAACUCGAGAUCCACAACCCUCUGACUUCAAUGGCGGUAGUACUGGUUCCUCCCUAGGUCUCCAGUUCCAUGACCCUCAAACUACACAGCAGCACCAGCUCCUCCCCAGGUCUACAGCUCCACCACCCUCACACUAGACACCAGGACUACCUCCUCCCCGCUCUCCAGCUACACGACCCGCAGAUUUGAACAGCAGCAGCGUCUCCUCCCUGUACCUCAAGCCCCAUAACCCUCAUAUAUGAACAACAGCAAUACCAGCUAAUGCCUAGGGCUCCAGCUCCAGGAUCCACAGAUUUAAACUGCAGCACCAGCUCGUCCAAGGAUCUCCAGCUCCACCACCCUCAGACUAGAACAAGACCUCUACUCCCUGGGUCGCGAGCUUCCGGACCCUCGAACUAUGAAAACAUUGCUCCUCCCUGGGUCCGCAGCUCCACGACCCUCAAACCAGAUCAAGAUCUCUCCUCCCUGUGUCGUCAGCUUCCUGACCCUUGAACUAUGACAACAUUGCUCCUCCCUGGGUCAGCAGCUCCACAACCCUCAAACCAGAUCAAGAUCUCUCCUCCCUGGGUCGCCAGCUUCCUGACCCUCGAACAACAGAAACAUUACUCCUCCCUGGGUCAGCAGCUCCAUGAUCCUCAAACUAGAAUGAGACCUCUCCUCCCUGCGUCGCCAGCUUCUGGACCCUUGAACUAUGAAAAUAUUGCUCCUCCCUGGGUCGGGAGCUCCAUGACCCUCAAACUAGAACAAGACCUCUCCUCCCUAGGUCUGCAGCUUCCAGUCCCUCAAAUAACAACAUUGCUCCUCCCUGGAUCUGCAGCUCCACGACCCUCAGACUAGAACACGAUCUGUCCUCCCUGGGUCACCAGCUUCCGAACCUUCGAACUAAAACAACAUUGCUCCUCCCUGGGUCUGCAGCUCCACGACCCUCAAACUAGAAAAAGACCUCUCCUCACUGUGUCGCCAGCUUCUGGACCCUCGAACUACAAAAACAUUGCUCCUGCCUGGGUCUGCAGCUCCACGACCCUCAAUCCAGAUCAAGAUCUCUCCUCCCUGUGUCAUCAGCUUCCUGACCCUCGAACUAUGACAGCAUUGCUCCUCCCUGGGCGCACCCUCAAACUAGAACAAGACCUCUCCACCCUGCGUCGCCAGUUUCCGGAGCCUCAAACUAAAACAACCUUGCUCCUCCCUGGGUCUGCAGCUCCACAACCCUCAAACUAGAACCAGACCUCUCCUCCCUGUGUUGCCAGCUUCCUGACCCUUGAACUAUGGAAACAUGGCUCCUCCCUAGGUCUGCAGCUCCACGACCCUCAAACUAAAACAAGAUCUCUCCUCCCUGGGUCUGCAGCUCCACGACCCUCAAACUAAAACAAGAUCUCUCCUCCCUGUGUCAUCAGCUUCCAGUCCCUCAAAUAACAACAUUGCUCCUCCCUGGGUCUGCAGCUCCACGACCCUCAAACUAAAACAAGACCUCUCCUCUCUAGGUCUGCAGCUUCCAGUCCCUCAAAUAACAACAUUGCUCCUCCCUGGAUCUGCAGCUCCAUGACUCUCAGACUACAACAAGAUCUCUCCUCCCUGGGUCACCAGCUUCCGGACCCUCGAACUACGAAAACAUUGCUCCUCCCUGGGUCUCCAGCUCCAUGACCCUCAAACUAAAACAAGAUCUCUCCUCCCUGUGUCAUCAGCUUCCAGUCCCUCAAAUAACAACAUUGCUCCUCCCUGGGUCUGCAGCUCCACGACCCUUAAACUAGAACAAGACCUCUCCUCACUGUGUCGCCAGCUUCCGGACCCUUGAACUAUGAAAACAUUGCUCCUCCCUGGGUCCGCAGCUCCACGACCCUCAAACUAAAACAAGAUCUCUCCUCCCUAGGUCUGCAGCUUCCAGUCCCUCAAAUAACAACAUUGCUCCUCCCUGGAUCUGCAGCUCCACGACCCUCAGACUAGAACAAGACCUCUCCUCCCUGAGUCACCAGCUUCCGAACCUUCGAACUAAAACAACAUUGCUCCUCCCUGGGUCCGCAGCUCCAUGACCCUCAAACUAGAACAAGACCUCUCCUCCCUAGGUCUGCAGCUUCCAGUCCCCAAAUAACAACAUUGCUCCUCCCUGGAUCUGCAGCUCCACGACCCUCAGACUAGAACAAGAUCUCUCCUCCCUGGGUCACCAGCUUCCGGACCCUGGAACUACAAAAACAUUGCUCCUCCCUGGGUCUGCAGCUCCACAACCCUCAAACUAAAACAAGAUCUCUCCUCCCUGUGUUGCCAGCUUCCGGACCCUCGAACUAUGACAACAUUGCUCCUCCCUGGGUCUGCAGCUCCACGACCCUCAAAGCAGAUCAAGAUCUCUCCUUCCUGUGUCAUCAGCUUCCUGACCCUUGAACUAUGACAACAUUGCUCCUCCCUGGGUCUGCAGCUCCAUGACUCUCAAACUAGAACAGCAGCACCAGCUCCUUCCUGGACCUCCAGGUCAAUGACUCUCAGACUUCAAAGGCAGCAGCAGCUCCACCCCCAGGCUCCAGCUCUAAAACCCUCAGAUGUGAGCAGUGGCAGCACCAGCUCCUUUCUGCGUCUCCGGCUUCAUGAUCCUUAAAUUAGAACAGCAGCGCCAUCUUCUCCCUGCGUCUCCAGCUCCAGGAACCUCAAACUGCAACAGGAGCACCUGUUCCUCUGGGAUUUUCACCUCCACGACCCUGAGGUGUCAGUGGCAGCACUGGCUCCUCCCCUGGGCUGCAGCUCCAGAACCCUCAAGAAUAAUCCCUUCUCAUGAAAUGUAGCAGUCAGGAAAACUGCAGAGGAAGUAAAUAAAUAAAUGUUUUCUUUCAAACUGAUGUUUCUUUUAUAUUCACACAAGUCAGGAAACUUUUCUACUUUCCAUCAAC